UUUGAACACAUUUUUUUAUUCACAACAUUGUUCCUAUCCUUACCAUUAUUAGAUUCCCCACCCAAAAAUACAACCUCAACAAUCACUGUUGUAUGCUUCCCAAAAGCACCACAUUUACAACCAUAUCAGCAUCUAUUUACAACCACAAUUUUUUCAGAGAGCAUCAACAAAUCUGUGGCCAUUUCUCAGCCGGCCAAGACGCCUAAUCGGUGUGCCCCACUUGACAUUUCCUUUGUUUUGACACCAGACACAACCCUGACGCUAGCAUAUGUAUUGGCGUUAUAUCCCAGACACACCUUUAAUAUGAAGUGUCAAUACUACGUAGUUACUUCUCGGUUGUAG
Vicia faba (fava bean) is the source of this 342-nucleotide non-coding RNA. NCBI's taxonomy places the organism in Eukaryota, Viridiplantae, Streptophyta, Magnoliopsida, Fabales, Fabaceae. The record is from the annotation of a GenBank genome assembly.